UUUCGUUUCUCUAAUCUUUUCCAAUUUUAAUUUCUUUUCCAUUCUCUUAAAUGUCAUUUAGAAUAUUCUCUCUAGGUAUGCACUUUCCCAUCAAAUUUCAUCUUAUCCACCCUCAUAUAUCUACUCUUCUUAUUUAAUUUGCUUAUUUAUCAUAUUGUCAUGCAAACUUUCUUGAUCUACCCUUAACCCAAUCACUUGGAAAAAAGAGCCUAUUACUAAUUACCGGCUUGCUAUCUCUAGCCUCCCCUAGCAAUUAAGAAUGCAUAAUAAACAGAAGCAAAAUAAAUUGAUCGUCCUACCCCUAUCCCUAGGUGGUAUUGUUUAAUCAAGGAAUCCCCC
This 339-nucleotide long non-coding RNA is filed under the name Vigna radiata. RNAcentral describes it as "long non-coding RNA (VRAD_LNC002908)". The record is from RNAcentral. Lineage: Eukaryota; Viridiplantae; Streptophyta; Magnoliopsida; Fabales; Fabaceae.